RNAcentral lists this transfer RNA (77 nucleotides) under Promethearchaeota archaeon. Its description in RNAcentral is "Candidatus Lokiarchaeota archaeon (microbial mat metagenome) tRNA-Asp". It matches the Rfam family "tRNA". Rfam says of the family: Transfer RNA (tRNA) molecules are approximately 80 nucleotides in length. Lineage: Archaea; Promethearchaeati; Promethearchaeota. The record is from RNAcentral.
GGGGCUGUGCUGUAGCCUGAUUAUCAAAAUGGUCCGUCUAACCAUUUACGCGGGUUCAAAUCCCGCCUGCCCCGCCA